UUAAAUUGAAGAGUUUGAUCAUGGCUCAGAUUGAACGCUGGCGGCAGGCCUAACACAUGCAAGUCGAACGGUAACAGGAAGCAGCUUGCUGCUUCGCUGACGAGUGGCGGACGGGUGAGUAAUGUCUGGGAAGCUGCCUGAUGGAGGGGGAUAACUACUGGAAACGGUAGCUAAUACCGCAUAACGUCGCAAGACCAAAGAGGGGGACCUUCGGGCCUCUUGCCAUCGGAUGUGCCCAGAUGGGAUUAGCUAGUAGGUGGGGUAACGGCUCACCUAGGCGACGAUCCCUAGCUGGUCUGAGAGGAUGACCAGCCACACUGGAACUGAGACACGGUCCAGACUCCUACGGGAGGCAGCAGUGGGGAAUAUUGCACAAUGGGCGCAAGCCUGAUGCAGCCAUGCCGCGUGUAUGAAGAAGGCCUUCGGGUUGUAAAGUACUUUCAGCGGGGAGGAAGGGAGUAAAGUUAAUACCUUUGCUCAUUGACGUUACCCGCAGAAGAAGCACCGGCUAACUCCGUGCCAGCAGCCGCGGUAAUACGGAGGGUGCAAGCGUUAAUCGGAAUUACUGGGCGUAAAGCGCACGCAGGCGGUUUGUUAAGUCAGAUGUGAAAUCCCCGGGCUCAACCUGGGAACUGCAUCUGAUACUGGCAAGCUUGAGUCUCGUAGAGGGGGUAGAAUUCCAGGUGUAGCGGUGAAAUGCGUAGAGAUCUGGAGGAAUACCGGUGGCGAAGGCGGCCCCCUGGACGAAGACUGACGCUCAGGUGCGAAAGCGUGGGGAGCAAACAGGAUUAGAUACCCUGGUAGUCCACGCCGUAAACGAUGUCGACUUGGAGGUUGUGCCCUUGAGGCGUGGCUUCCGGAGCUAACGCGUUAAGUCGACCGCCUGGGGAGUACGGCCGCAAGGUUAAAACUCAAAUGAAUUGACGGGGGCCCGCACAAGCGGUGGAGCAUGUGGUUUAAUUCGAUGCAACGCGAAGAACCUUACCUGGUCUUGACAUCCACAGAACUUUCCAGAGAUGGAUUGGUGCCUUCGGGAACUGUGAGACAGGUGCUGCAUGGCUGUCGUCAGCUCGUGUUGUGAAAUGUUGGGUUAAGUCCCGCAACGAGCGCAACCCUUAUCCUUUGUUGCCAGCGGUCCGGCCGGGAACUCAAAGGAGACUGCCAGUGAUAAACUGGAGGAAGGUGGGGAUGACGUCAAGUCAUCAUGGCCCUUACGACCAGGGCUACACACGUGCUACAAUGGCGCAUACAAAGAGAAGCGACCUCGCGAGAGCAAGCGGACCUCAUAAAGUGCGUCGUAGUCCGGAUUGGAGUCUGCAACUCGACUCCAUGAAGUCGGAAUCGCUAGUAAUCGUGGAUCAGAAUGCCACGGUGAAUACGUUCCCGGGCCUUGUACACACCGCCCGUCACACCAUGGGAGUGGGUUGCAAAAGAAGUAGGUAGCUUAACCUUCGGGAGGGCGCUUACCACUUUGUGAUUCAUGACUGGGGUGAAGUCGUAACAAGGUAACCGUAGGGGAACCUGCGGUUGGAUCACCUCCUUACCUUAAAGAAGC
Molecule: ribosomal RNA, 1555 nt
Filed under: Escherichia coli
Lineage: Bacteria; Pseudomonadati; Pseudomonadota; Gammaproteobacteria; Enterobacterales; Enterobacteriaceae
Description: bacterial SSU rRNA
Rfam family: Bacterial small subunit ribosomal RNA
Source: RNAcentral